This 418-nucleotide RNase P RNA is filed under the name Gemmatimonas aurantiaca. Its description in RNAcentral is "RNase P RNA component class A". It matches the Rfam family "Bacterial RNase P class A". From Rfam's summary of the family: Ribonuclease P (RNase P) is a ubiquitous endoribonuclease, found in archaea, bacteria and eukarya as well as chloroplasts and mitochondria. Its best characterised activity is the generation of mature 5'-ends of tRNAs by cleaving the 5'-leader elements of precursor-tRNAs. The record is from RNAcentral. RNAcentral also lists the same sequence under 1 other name. Lineage: Bacteria; Pseudomonadati; Gemmatimonadota; Gemmatimonadia; Gemmatimonadales; Gemmatimonadaceae.
GUCACCGGCCGGAUGGUCGCGAAACAGGGGAACGAGCCUUCAUGGCCACGCCCGUGUUCCGAGGAAAGUCCGGGCUCCAUAGGGCAGAUCGCCAGGUAACGCCUGGGCGCAUACGGCGUGAGCUGCAUGCGACGGACAGUGCAACAGAAAGCAAACCGCCGUCUUCGCGAGAAGGCGGUAAGGGUGAAAGGGUGGGGUAAGAGCCCACCGCGCGUCCGGCAACGGGCGUGGCUCGGUAAACCCCGGUCGGAGCAAGGCCAAAUAGGCGGUGAGAGACGGCCCGUCUCGACAGGAUGCUUUCGGGCAUCGAGCCGCGGGUAGGCUGCUGGAGCGUGUUGGUGACGACACGCCGAGAGGAAUGACCAUCCGGUGCACCUCGGUGUACCGACAGAACCCGGCUUACAGGCCGGUGACAUCC